RNAcentral lists this ribosomal RNA (245 nucleotides) under uncultured bacterium. RNAcentral describes it as "partial 16S ribosomal RNA". It matches the Rfam family "Bacterial small subunit ribosomal RNA", at positions 524 to 768 of the family's 1533-position model. The record is from RNAcentral.
AACGUAGGAGGCGAGCGUUAUCCGGAUUUACUGGGUGUAAAGCGCGUGCAGGCGGUCUUGAAAGUUGGAUGUGAAAGCUCCUGGCUUAACUGGGAGAGGUCGUUCAAUACUACAAGACUUGAGUAUGGGAGAGGGAGGCGGAAUUCCGGGUGUAGUGGUGAAAUGCGUAGAUAUCCGGAGGAACACCAGUGGCGAAAGCGGCCUCCUGGUCCAAAACUGACGCUCAGAUGCGAAAGCUAGGGGAG